RNAcentral lists this non-coding RNA (148 nucleotides) under Peptostreptococcus anaerobius 653-L. Its description in RNAcentral is "putative glmS glucosamine-6-phosphate activated ribozyme". It matches the Rfam family "glmS glucosamine-6-phosphate activated ribozyme aptamer". Rfam says of the family: This entry contains a glucosamine-6-phosphate activated ribozyme that is found in the mRNA for GlmS. GlmS is an enzyme that uses fructose-6-phosphate and glutamine to generate glucosamine-6-phosphate. Lineage: Bacteria; Bacillati; Bacillota; Clostridia; Peptostreptococcales; Peptostreptococcaceae. The record is from RNAcentral.
UUUGUAUGCUUAGCGCCAGACUGAUAUUUCAGUUAACGAGGACGAAGAAAUCGAGAUAUUCGGCGGAUACUUCGCGGUGGCCUACCAUCGAAAGGUAUACCUUAAAAGCAGGAGUGAUCCUGUAACAAAGGGUCUACUAGUAGGGGCC